Molecule: non-coding RNA, 27 nt
Filed under: Mus musculus (house mouse)
Lineage: Eukaryota; Metazoa; Chordata; Mammalia; Rodentia; Muridae
Source: RNAcentral
UGUUCACUCUCUAGGGACAGCCUCUCC